UCAAGGCACAAGUUGACGCUGAGAGGCAUAGGUUGCGGGGGGCGCUCUGGGCUUCCUGAAAGUACCGACAGGAGCGUUUAACUGACGAAGAUUUUGGAGGAACAGCAGAAGCCUGCAAGAGCAGAUUUGGUGGAAGCAACGAGAUCCAAAGCAAACUUUUGCUGGCAUUCAGGGACAACAAGAAACAAGUGUGGUACCUGAGGAACCCUUUGAGCAUUGUCUUUCUUGCCAUUUCCAAGGGCCAUGGAUUUAAGGAAACCUUUUCUCUGAAACUGUCUAUGACUUGCCACAAUUUGGAAAAUAUACCACUGUAAGCAAAAAUGAAACAUUUACUUUUUUUCCCUACCUGAUCCCUCCAAAAUUCAGAAACUCUUAAGUGUUCUUUUCUUUUGUGUGUGUGUGUAUGUGUGUGUGUGUGAGGAAGAUUAGCCCUGAGCUAACAUCUGUUGCCAAUCCUCCUCUUUUUGCUGAGUAAGAUUGGCCCUGGGCUAACAUCCAUGCCCAUCUUCCUCUACUUUAAAUGGGAUGCCACCACAGCAUGGCUUGAUAAGCGGUGCAUAGGUCCAUGCCCGGGAUCCGAACCUGCAAACCCCGGGCCACCAAAGUGGAGCACACAAACUUAACCACUACUCCACUGGGCUGGCCCCUUCAGUAUUCUUUUCAUGACAAUACAGUUAGUUAUUGGCAUAAGUUCUGCUUGUAACAGGACACUGUUGGAAACACUGGCUAUAUUACCAAGACUUUGACUGGAUUGUCAUAUUUGAGGGAGAUAUGCAUAGACUCAGAUAUGACCAGACAGUUUUAAGGAACUAAGGUUGACUUUACAGAGUGAAUAAAGCCCCAUGAAAAAAUCAACCUAGUACCUUGCUUACAAAGUUCCAGCAAAGCAGUCUUAAAAGAGCUUCUAUGGUCAAUCACUAUUUUUGCUGCUCUUAUGUAAAUGUAAAUAAUCAGGCCAAGUCUGAUGCAAACAAUUUAGUUUUACUGUGAUUAUCCUUGGAAAAAAAGAAAUGGGGAUAAUUAUAGAGAGAAAAACUAUGUUUGCACCUUUGUCUAUAUUAGAUUCUGAUCUUGUUAACUGUAUUCAAGGUUCUGUUAACUACCUGUAAACUGGGCUGGAUCCUGAAUUCUUCUAGUUUCCUCAAAUAUCUGACUACAACUCUCCAAACUAACCUUUCCAAUUCCUCCUACACUUUUGAUUUGGAAUCACUAAGAACAAAGACUGCCCUUGAAUCUCCUUGGAAGGGACUAUACCAGGUCCUCCUCACUACCCAGAUGGCAGCCAAGCUUCAGGGACUUGAACCUUAAAAGAAGGCUCCUCCUGACAUGUGGUUCUAUGCAAAUGCUGGAGACCUCCAGAUCAAAUGGACGAGGAAGAGGACUAGCUGACGUGGAGGUAGACUGCUUCCCCCCCAAGACUCUGGAU
Long non-coding RNA from Diceros bicornis minor, 1426 nucleotides. RefSeq lists it as uncharacterized. The record is from RefSeq and is a predicted model, not a curated record. NCBI's taxonomy places the organism in Eukaryota, Metazoa, Chordata, Mammalia, Perissodactyla, Rhinocerotidae. The transcript is spliced from 3 exons.